AACGAACGCUGGCGGCAUGCCUAACACAUGCAAGUCGAACGAGACCGUCGGGUCUAGUGGCGCACGGGUGCGUAACGCCUGGGAACCUGCCCGUAGGUUCGGAAUAACUCAGAGAAAUUUGAGCUAAUACCGGAUGAUGUCUUCGGACCAAAGAUUUAUCGCCUGUAGAUGGGCCCGCGUUGGAUUAGCUAGGUGGUGGGGUAAAGGCGUACCAAGGCGACGAUCCAUAGCUGGUGUGAGAGGAUGAUCAGCGACACUGGGACGGGGACACGGCCCAGACUGGUGCGAGCGGCAGCAGUGGGGAAUAUUGGGCAGUGGGCGUAAGCCUGAACCAGCGAUGCCGGGUGAGUGAUGAAGGCGUUAGGGUUGUAAAGCGCUUUUACCCGAGAGGAAGUGACGGUAACGGGAGAAUAAGCACCGGCUAACUACGUG
This 432-nucleotide ribosomal RNA is filed under the name uncultured bacterium. RNAcentral describes it as "partial 16S ribosomal RNA". It matches the Rfam family "Bacterial small subunit ribosomal RNA", at positions 29 to 507 of the family's 1533-position model. The record is from RNAcentral.